This is a long non-coding RNA of Micropterus dolomieu (smallmouth bass), 757 nucleotides long. RefSeq lists it as uncharacterized. Lineage: Eukaryota; Metazoa; Chordata; Actinopteri; Centrarchiformes; Centrarchidae. The transcript is spliced from 4 exons. The record is from RefSeq and is a predicted model, not a curated record.
ACAGUUUGUUCAAAUGUUUUCCAGCUGUGAGUAUCCUCUCCAUUUCUGGUGUGCAUUGCAUUGUGGGAUAAUCGACUCCAUCAACAUCACUCACAAAAAUUUAGCAGCACACCGAGCCUCGGGCAGCAGAUCUCAACACUGACAGCAACAGCUCCCCCACAGAGACGCUGGAUAACACGCAACACAACAAACCACAACGGCACAGCGACCUCCUGUCUUGCCUAUCAGGAGGAUGGAGUACAACAGCUCUGAGGCAGAAGACAGGCCGAGUGCAGCCAGAGGGAUUAAAGCCACUGUCAGCAAGAGAAAGGGCAGAGGGGCGCACAGGAAAUGAUUGUGGCCCCAUGGAGGCAAGUCAGAGGCCAGAGCCGCCAGUCCAGCUGCUGCAACACAGUGCUGAGGGAAACAAGAAAAGUGCAAGAAUUAAUGAGGGCAUCAGUUCCUGCCACCUCCACUCUCCUGCGCCGACAGACUGCGCCCAGCUCCCGCUCUGCCUGUUGCUUGAAAGUGAGAAGUAAAUAUUAGGACUUGACUAUUUAGAAAGAGUUGGAAAUGUGCAGCCCACAGCAGGGCCAUGAGAGGGGCAGCAGGAGAAAUGAGGAGUGAGUGGGUCCACUGGCAGAACAUCUGAAAUCUGCUCCCUAGCAGGAUGUGACAGAGAUGUGCGCUAAUUGCUUUAACCCUUCACACCUACUUGUUCCUUGUAAUGGCCCUCCAGCCAUGCCUCUUCAAAUAAAGAUUAAUCUACCCUCACCAA